Non-coding RNA from Caerostris darwini, 72 nucleotides. Lineage: Eukaryota; Metazoa; Arthropoda; Arachnida; Araneae; Araneidae. The record is from the annotation of a GenBank genome assembly.
UCCUAUGUGGUCUAGUGGUUAGGAUUCCUGGAUUUCACCCAGGCGGGCUGGGUUCCAUUCCCGAUAUGGGAA